AGUGAACGCUGGCGGUGGGCCUAACGCAUGCAAGUCGAACGACAGCACAGGAAGAUCUUGCUCUUACGGGUGGCGAGUGGCGGACGGGUGAGAAAUACAUCGGAAUCUACUUUUUCGUGGGGGAUAACGUAGGAAAGGUACUCAUACCGCAUAAUAUAUCUAACGGUAUAAACCAGUAGUGAUCGAAGCUUUUGCUGUUACAUUUAGCUGGAUCCGAGUAGCAUUAGCUAGUUGGUAAGGUAAAGGCCUACCAAGGCCACGAUCCGUAGCGGGCCUGAGAGGAUGAUCAGCCACACUGGAACUGAGACACGGUCCAGACUCCUACGGGAGGCAGCAGUGGGGAAUAUUGGACAAUGGGCGAAAGCCUGAUCCAGCAAUACCGCGUGAGUGAAGAAGGUCUUCGGGUUGUAAAGCUCUUUUGUUGGGAAAGAAAAGCAGCAGGUUAAUCUAUCGAUGUUCUGACGGUACCCAAAGAAUAAGCACCGGCUAACUUCGUG
RNAcentral lists this ribosomal RNA (497 nucleotides) under uncultured bacterium. Its description in RNAcentral is "partial 16S ribosomal RNA". It matches the Rfam family "Bacterial small subunit ribosomal RNA", at positions 29 to 507 of the family's 1533-position model. The record is from RNAcentral.